GAAACUUGAGUUUAUUUUGCCCCUAGAGUUCGAUUUAUUUACAAGAAUGCCAUAAUGGCAAACUUGUAAAUAAAUGAAACAUCAAACUAAUAUCUAGAUAUUUCUCUAGACAAACUUGAUGCCCAAGUUUCUUAAUCUUCUUCUUCAUUUUUGCUAGACAUAUUCAUUCACCAUUUGAGAUAUCCAUUGCCAAGCUCUCAACUAAAACACAACCUCCAUUUCUUUUCAUUUUUUCAUCAAAUUUCCUUAACAAAAAUCAUUGCAAUUUUUCCGUAGAUUAAUAAUCUACCAAUGCAUGUAGGAUCAAGGAUCGUUACCUGUCUUUUUGGACGAGACUUCACUUUGUUUGCUUCUCGAAGUCUCCUUGUUUGAAUUGUGGUAUUUUGUUCAGUAGCGCUACAAUAGUAGUUAUCCGCAGUAGACUAGUAUAGUCUUGUUGUAUACAAAUGUUAGCGCAUUUAAACUCUGAUGUUUUGUCCCAUCAUUUAUUUACUAAAUGUUUCAUACAUUUCUAUUUUUAAAGCGAAAAAUUUAUAGUGUUUUUCAGGCUUGCUACGGGUUUCGGAGCAAUCACUCCCAUUCCCUAGCGCCGGUCUCGACUCGAGAUUUCGGGUCGUCACAACAAACCUUGAAAAAUAAAUUGAGUUGUAUUCAGAAUGUCCUCAUGUUAUCUUCUACAGCAAGGAGCACGCAAAAUAAAUAAUGUCAAAUACCUAUAAAGGUUGUGUCAGGUUGUGAAAAUUCUUUGAAAAUUGUUUGCACCAAGGUGUAAAUUAAUAUAAAUGUUUAUAUUAAUUUAUAGCUGCCAAAAUUAUAAAAUAAAUUCUUUCUCUUA
Molecule: long non-coding RNA, 835 nt
Organism: Mercurialis annua (annual mercury)
Lineage: Eukaryota; Viridiplantae; Streptophyta; Magnoliopsida; Malpighiales; Euphorbiaceae
Exons: 2
Source: RefSeq, a predicted model, not a curated record